CAAAGGUUUAAUUUAUUUUGAAUAAACUUAAAAUGUCAAGAUAUUUUCCAAAGAGGUAUUAAGCUCCUUUUAAACAGUGCUUUGAAAGAUUUCAUAUACAGUUUUGGAACUUGUAAGAGUAUUAGUUGUUAUAGAGACAUUUAUAUUGGAAAAGGGUUUCAGUACAUUUAUAUAAUAUGAGCAAUGCAUAUUGUAUUGUACUCUUAAACUGUACAUUUCGUCUUUCAAAUCAUGGGUAUGUAAUGCACAUGUUACUAAUGUACUAUUAAUACAUUUGUUAUCUGUUCUGGUUAGAAUCUCAUUUCCUCAAUGUGUUAAAGGUGCUGUGAAAUUUGUUUUGUUUGUUGUUUUUAUGCCCCCCUUCGAAGAAGGGAGGGCAUAUUGCUUUGGUGCUGUCUGUCGGUCCACUUAGUUUCCGCUCAUUUUCUUCACAAUCGUUGCACAUACUGAAAUGAAAUUUAGUAUACAGAUUUAUCAGGUAAAUAUCUAGGUCAGGUUCUGUUUUGGGCACGAUCACACCAUUUUUUACAGAGCUAUGCCCCUUGGACUAAGGAAAAUUCGAAUUAUUUGCAGUUUCCGUUCAUUUUGGUCGCAGAGGUUGCACAUACUGAAAUGAAAUUUGAUAGACAGACUUAUGAGAUGAUUUUGUUUUGGGUACGAUCACACCAUUUUGACAAAGUUGUGCCCCUUUGGGCCUUGCUCCAACACAUCUUGAGGACUGUUCGUCCUCUGGUGAAGUAUUGGACAACACGUU
Molecule: long non-coding RNA, 754 nt
Organism: Saccostrea cuccullata (small rock oyster)
Lineage: Eukaryota; Metazoa; Mollusca; Bivalvia; Ostreida; Ostreidae
Exons: 2
Source: RefSeq, a predicted model, not a curated record